Long non-coding RNA from Xenia sp. Carnegie-2017, 560 nucleotides. RefSeq lists it as uncharacterized. The transcript is spliced from 2 exons. Lineage: Eukaryota; Metazoa; Cnidaria; Anthozoa; Malacalcyonacea; Xeniidae. The record is from RefSeq and is a predicted model, not a curated record.
AGAAAAGUGCAAAUAUCACAACGGAUGCAAAUACUCCAAAAUCCAGUAAAUUAAAGUGUGAAGUAUUACAAAGUCAGACACAAACACUUCAAGACUCUGUUAUUGAAGUAUUGAAUCAUAAAGAAUCAAGAAAAAUCAUGUACAGUGACAUUCAAAGGAAGAAUUAACAGAAUAGCAACAUAGUGAACUCUUCCAAACAGAUUGACUCCAGGAACAGACAGGGUUAUCAUUUUCCAUAGCAAUAAACCAAGUAGAUGAAUAUCACAUUUAUAACAUAUAAUUCCUGAAUUUACAAAUAAUUGUUUAGUUCAGAGCCGACAUAAAUGUCUUUGGGGUGCUUUAAGCCACUGAGAUCUUUCAUUAAUUGUAGUGAACUUCCAAACUCAGUACAUUUUACUCCAUGGAAAUCGUCUCAAAUGGUCAUGGAGUAUAUAGUCUUUUAUUAUGAAGAAAACUUAGUGCAUUAGAAACAAACCACGCAACUUUUAAUAUCCUUUUUCAGGGGCAGAUCCAGGAGGUUAUGAAAGAGGGGGCCGAACUUUUUGAAUUAGUUUGAAAAC